Molecule: ribosomal RNA, 463 nt
Filed under: uncultured eukaryote
Lineage: Eukaryota
Description: bacterial SSU rRNA
Rfam family: Eukaryotic small subunit ribosomal RNA
Source: RNAcentral
CUCCAAUAGCGUACGUUAAAGUUGCUGCAGUUAAAAGCUCGUAGUUGAACGUUCGGGUUCCGCGGGACGGGGCCGCCCCGCGAGGGACGGCGCCGCCCCGGGGCUCGUGAUAUCUCAUCUCGCCGCCCGUCGCGAGGCGGACGGAGGGAUGGAUGAGGUUACUUGGAAAAAAUCGGGGCGAUCUAGGCGGGCGAACCUCGCCAACGAACGAUCGGACAUGGGAUAACGGAAGAGGGCGUCGGCUCGACUUCGUCGGUUCCUCGGGGCCGAGGCACGUACGGUGAAUAGGGACGGUCGGGGCCGCCCGUACCGGGUCGUGAGAGGUGAAAUUCUAGGAUCGACCCGAGACGAACCGCCGCGAAAGCAUUCGGCAAGGACGCUUUCAUUAAUCAAGAACGAAAGUCGGGGAUCGAAGACGAUCAGAUACCGUCGUAGUCCCGACCGUAACGAUGCCGACCGAGGG